RNAcentral lists this ribosomal RNA (429 nucleotides) under uncultured archaeon. RNAcentral's name for it is "bacterial SSU rRNA". It matches the Rfam family "Archaeal small subunit ribosomal RNA", at positions 474 to 903 of the family's 1478-position model. The record is from RNAcentral.
UACCAGCUCUCCGAGUGGUAGGGAUGUUUAUUGGGCUUAAAGCGUCCGUAGCCGGCUUAGCAAGUCUCCUGUUAAAUUCAGCGACCUAAUCGUUGAGCCGCGGGAGAUACUACUAGGCUAGGAGGCGGGAGAGGUCAACGGUACUUCCGGGGUAGGGGUGAAAUCCUAUAAUCCCGGGAGGACCACCAGUGGCGAAGGCUGUUGACUAGAACGCGCUCGACGGUGAGGGACGAAAGCUGGGGGAGCGAACCGGAUUAGAUAUCCGGGUAGUCCCAGCUGUAAACGAUGCGAGCUAGGUGUUGGGGUGGCUACGUGCCACUUCAGUGCCGCAGGGAAGCCAUUAAGCUCGCCGCCUGGGGAGUACGGCCGCAAGGCUGAAACUUAAAGGAAUUGGCGGGGGAGCACCACAAGGCGUGAAGCUUGCGGUUC